GCGCGUACACGAGCUCACUUGUUUGUCGUGCACUUAGGUACUUGACACAUCGAAUCUGACGGCUGGGAACAAAUACAUAUAUUAAAUAUGUUGCAAGUUAAAACACGACAAAUGUCAAGCUGUCCUGCCUCUGGUUUGCCAGAAAAGUUACCUGUUUCCCAGUUACCAACUUACAACGACAUUAUGAAAUAUUAUUUAUUUAUCAAAAAUGAAUUGAAGCCUGAUAUAGCAACAAAAGAGCCAACAGUUCAUGAAAUAUCUGAAAGGCUGGCUCAAGAAGUUUUAUAAAUAUGGCAAAAAUCGUCGCUGCCAACUGUAAGUUUCAAAAGAAUCCUACAAUUGAUUCGCGUUUAUCAUGACAAAUACAGAUGCUUAAUGAAACCAUAUCGAGGCCGUCAAACGGACAUUAAAUACCAAGAAAAAAAUAAUAAAUUCAUAUCAGACUCUCAUAGUUUCUUUGAUAUUUGUAGCUGCAAAUGCAAAGUUAUAUCGGAUUGUAACUGUCCUAAAGAAUGUCGCAUUCCCAAGGAGGAAGUUGUUUUUUUAUUGGAUCAAAGAACGACCAGAAAAAUGAUGAUAGGCGGUGUCGAUGUGGCUACAGCGGCAAAAAUAAGAAAAAACAAGAAAGAAAAGAAAAAGCUUUAUAUCGCAGUAGAGAGGUAAACUAUUUUGAUAAACCUUGUUGUUCUCGUUCAUUGACUGAUGAUUUUGUAACAGAAAGCAGCAGCUCAUGCGAUAGUUUGCUUGUGCCAUCUACUAGUCCUCAGUAUAAAAACCCAGAACAGGUAAAACAUAAAGCUUCGCCACCUAAUAAAAAAAAAACGAUUGAAUUUAACCUCAUUAGCUCUUGCAUGCGAUCGUACUGGAGUUUCGGAUAGAGCCGCUGCUAUUAUAGCUUCUUCUGUCUUGAAAGAUGUUGGCAUUAUUGAAACCUUGAAAAAUGUGGUCAAGAACGGUCUCAGCAUAUGUCAGAUUAUUGAUUUUCCAUGUCACACUCAAGCAGUAGAGCGCUGCAUCAAGUUGGUGACAGAAGCAUCAAAUGCAGUUUGUGGAGAUAAUAAAAGAGACGGUUUCAUUAGAGCGACACUGCUUUCGCGUAAACGAAUGCCUACUUUUAAUACGAAAAAACAGUUUGAUAUGUAAGUUUGCUUUUUUAAUGUUUAAUUUUUGCAAUUAAUAGAAAAAUUGGAUUUUU
Molecule: long non-coding RNA, 1195 nt
Organism: Helicoverpa armigera (cotton bollworm)
Lineage: Eukaryota; Metazoa; Arthropoda; Insecta; Lepidoptera; Noctuidae
Exons: 2
Source: RefSeq, a predicted model, not a curated record